AGCGAACGCUGGCGGUAGGCCUAACACAUGCCAGUCGAACGGCAGCACAGUAAGAGCUUGCUCUUACGGGUGGCGAGUGGCGGACGGGUGAGGAAUACACCGGAAUCUACUUUUUCGUGGGGGAUAACGAAGGGAAACUUACGCUAAUACCGCAUACGACCUACGGGUGAAAGCAGGGGAUCUUCGGAUCUUGCGCGAUUGAAUGAGCCGAUGUCGGAUUAGCUAGUUGGCGGGGUACAGGCGCACCAAGGCGACGAUCCGUAGCUGGUCUGAGAGGAGGUAGCGGCACACUGGAACUGAGAGACGGUCCAGACUCCGACGGGAGGCAGAGGUGGGGAAUAGUGGACGAUGGGCGCAAUCCUGAUCCAGCCAUACCGCGUUGGUGCAGAGGGCCUUCGGGUUGUAAAGCCGUUUUGUUGUGAAAGAAAAGUAGCAGUUUAAUACCCCGCUGUUCUGACGGUACCCAAAUAAUAAGCACCGGCUAACUUCGUG
RNAcentral lists this ribosomal RNA (492 nucleotides) under uncultured bacterium. Its description in RNAcentral is "partial 16S ribosomal RNA". It matches the Rfam family "Bacterial small subunit ribosomal RNA", at positions 29 to 507 of the family's 1533-position model. The record is from RNAcentral.